UUCCAGACUCCUACGGGAGGCAGCAGUUGGGAAUAUUGGACAAUGGAGGAAACUCUGAUCCAGUGACGCCGCGUGAAGGAAGAAGGUCUUCGGAUUGUAAACUUAUUUUGUCAGGGAAGAAAAAAAUGACUGUACCUGAAGAAAAAGCACCGGCUAACUACGUGCCAGCAGCCGCGGUAAUACGUAGGGUGCAAGCGUUAUCCGGAUUUACUAGGUGUAAAGGGCGAGUAGACGGCGUUGCAAGUCAGAUGUGAAAACCUAGGGCUCAACCGUAGGACUGCAUCUGAAACUGUAAUGCUAGAGUGCAGGAGAGGUAAGCGGAAUUCCUAGUGUAGCGGUGAAAUGCGUAGAUAUUAGGAGGAACACCAGUGGCGAAGGCGGCUUACUGGACUGUAACUGACGUUGAGGAGCGAAAGUGUGGGGAGCAAACAGGAUUAGAUACCCUGGUAGC
This 451-nucleotide ribosomal RNA is filed under the name uncultured bacterium. RNAcentral describes it as "bacterial SSU rRNA". It matches the Rfam family "Bacterial small subunit ribosomal RNA", at positions 329 to 794 of the family's 1533-position model. The record is from RNAcentral.